This is a non-coding RNA of Triticum aestivum (bread wheat), 115 nucleotides long. NCBI's taxonomy places the organism in Eukaryota, Viridiplantae, Streptophyta, Magnoliopsida, Poales, Poaceae. The record is from Rfam.
UUUCUACUUCCUUCGUUCCGAAUUACUUGUCGUAGGUAUAGAUGUAUCUAGAUGUAUUUUAGUUGUAGAUACAUCCAUUUCUGCGACGAGUAAUUUGGAACGGAGGGAGUAGUAU